This 478-nucleotide ribosomal RNA is filed under the name uncultured bacterium. Its description in RNAcentral is "partial 16S ribosomal RNA". It matches the Rfam family "Bacterial small subunit ribosomal RNA", at positions 28 to 523 of the family's 1533-position model. The record is from RNAcentral.
GACGAACGCUGGCGGCGUGCUUAACACAUGCAAGUCGAACGGUAAGGCCCUUCGGGGUACACGAGUGGCGAACGGGUGAGUAACACGUGGGUGAUCUGCCCUGCACUUCGGGAUAAGACUGGGAAACUGGGUCUAAUACCGGAUAGGACCACUGCCUGCAUGGGUGGGGGUGGAAAGCUUUUGCGGUGUGGGAUGGGCCCGCGGCCUAUCAGCUUGUUGGUGGGGUGAUGGCCUAUCAAGGCGACGACGGGUAGCCGGCCUGAGAGGGUGACCGGCCACACUGGUACUGAGAUACGGCCCAGACUCCUACGGGAGGCAGCAGUGGGGAAUAUUGCACAAUGGGCGCAAGCCUGAUGCAGCGACGCCGCGUGAGGGAUGACGGCCUUCGGGUUGUAAACCUCUUUCAGCACCGACGAAGCGCAAGUGACGGUAGGUGCAGAAGAAGGACCGGCCAACUACGUGCCAGCAGCCGCAGUAA